RNAcentral lists this ribosomal RNA (236 nucleotides) under Chthoniobacterales bacterium. Its description in RNAcentral is "partial 16S ribosomal RNA". It matches the Rfam family "Bacterial small subunit ribosomal RNA", at positions 1 to 219 of the family's 1533-position model. Lineage: Bacteria; Pseudomonadati; Verrucomicrobiota; Spartobacteria; Chthoniobacterales. The record is from RNAcentral.
AAUUUUUACGGAGAGUUUGAUUCUGGCUCAGAACGAACGCUGGCGGCGUGGAUAAGACAUGCAAGUCGAACGGGAUUAUUUUUGUAGCAAUACAGAGAUAAUUCAGUGGCGAACGGGUGCGUAACACGUGGGCAAUCUGCCGAAAAGUGGGGGAUAGCUCGCCGAAAGGCGAAUUAAUACCGCAUGUGGUGAGGGACGACAUCUUCCUGAAUCCAAAGCCGGGGCAACCUGGCGCU